UAGAGGAAGUAAAAGUCGUAACAAGGUUUCCGUAGGUGAACCUGCGGAAGGAUCAUUAACGAGUUUGAAAUCGAGAGCCUGUUGCUGGUGCGGAAACGUACAUCGUGCACGGCUCCCGUGCUCAAUCCAUUUCAACCCCCUUGUGCACCUUAUCGAAGUCAGUAGUCUUUCUCUUUUUGUUUGCCGGUUGUGUGCGGGAACCUCUUUCUGUUCACUUGGCCGGCGAGGAGAAAUAGAGGGUCGAAAGCUUUGACUUUUCUGUUAAACACUUUGUAUGUCUUGUGGAACGUAUUAGCUCCUUUGUAGGGGCGAAAUAAAUACAACUUUCAACAACGGAUCUCUUGGCUCUCGCAUCGAUGAAGAACGCAGCGAAAUGCGAUAAGUAAUGUGAAUUGCAGAAUUCAGUGAAUCAUCGAAUCUUUGAACGCACCUUGCGCCCCUUGGUAUUCCGAGGGGCAUGCCUGUUUGAGUGUCAUGUUAAUCUCAAACCCCUUGUCUUUUUUGUUGACUUGGUCGGUUUGGACUUGGAGGUGUUGCUGGCGUGCGUCGGCUCCUCUUAAUUGCAUUAGCUGGACUUUGGUUCGCAUUUGACGGUGUAAUAGUAAAGUGUUCGCCGGGCGUGCUUGCCUAACGGGUCUGCUUCUAAUCGUCUUCGGACAACUCUGUUCAUUUUGACCUUUGACCUCAAAUCAGGUAGGACUACCCGCUGAACUUAAGCAUAUCAAUAAGCGGAGGAAAAGAAACUAACAAGGAUUCCCCUAGUAACUGCGAGUGAAGCGGGAAGAGCUCAAAUUUAAAAUCUGGCGGCUUUCGGUCGUCCGAGUUGUAAUCU
RNAcentral lists this ribosomal RNA (832 nucleotides) under Phellinus sp. YD-2015. RNAcentral describes it as "eukaryotic LSU rRNA". The stretch from base 322 to 475 matches the Rfam family "5.8S ribosomal RNA". The record is from RNAcentral. Lineage: Eukaryota; Fungi; Basidiomycota; Agaricomycetes; Hymenochaetales; Hymenochaetaceae.